AAACUCAAAGGAAUUGACGGGGACCCGCACAAGCGGCGGAGCAUGCGGAUUAAUUCGAUGCAACGCGAAGAACCUUACCAAGGCUUGACAUACACGAGAACGCCCUAGAAAUAGGGAACUCUUUGGACACUCGUGAACAGGUGGUGCAUGGUUGUCGUCAGCUCGUGUCGUGAGAUGUUGGGUUAAGUCCCGCAACGAGCGCAACCCUCGUUCUAUGUUGCCAGCACGUAAUGGUGGGAACUCAUGGGAUACUGCCGGGGUCAACUCGGAGGAAGGUGGGGAUGACGUCAAAUCAUCAUGCCCCUUAUGUCUUGGGCUUCACGCAUGCUACAAUGGCCGGUACAAAGGGCUGCAAUACCGUAAGGUGGAGCGAAUCCCAAAAGCCGGUCCCAGUUCGGAUUGAGGUCUGCAACUCGACCUCAUGAAGUCGGAGUCGCUAGUAAUCGCAGAUCAGCAACGCUGCGGUGAAUACGUUCCCGGGUCUUGUACACACCGCCCGUCAAGUCAUGAAAGUCGGUAACACCUGAAGCCGGUGGCCCAACCCUUGUGGAGGGAGCCGUCGAAGGUGGGAUCGGUAAUUAGGACUAAGUCGUAACAAGGUAGCCGUACCGGAAGGUGCGGCUGGAUCACCUCCUUUCUG
Molecule: ribosomal RNA, 640 nt
Filed under: uncultured Microbacterium sp.
Lineage: Bacteria; Bacillati; Actinomycetota; Actinomycetes; Micrococcales; Microbacteriaceae
Description: bacterial SSU rRNA
Rfam family: Bacterial small subunit ribosomal RNA
Source: RNAcentral